GCCAUUUCUCUCCACUGACUGCAGCCUCAGUGCUCACAGCUCACGUUUCCCUGGAAUCCAGAGGCCUCCUCAGCUAAGGACUCCAUAAUGCUGGAUAUUUUCAUUCUGAUGUUCUUUGCCAUCAUAGGCCUGGUCAUUCUCUCCUACAUAAUCUAUCUGCUCUAGUGGCCUUCAGCUGCGAGGGAGCCCACAGGAGAACAGCUCAGGGGGGAAGGAUGAAGCUGACUGGCGGAGCAUCCUGCUUGCUGACGCACCGGUGGAUUUUUGCUUCUGGUCAUUAUUUCGGUUCCUGGUCUCCAGUCCAACAAGAGGCCUCUUAUCAACAGCAGCUGUCCUGCCGCCCAACAGACCUCUUCCAGAGCCUUCCGGAUAUGGUUAACCCCUAUCAAGCAAGGGGCUUUUUGAGCUCAAAGGCUGAGGCACUUGGCUGGAACAUCAGGAAUUUAUGGGCUUGGCUGGCAGGUGUGCGUGCGUUUGAAUUAUAAAUUAAGAAAGAACACAGAAAGCUGAAAUGUAGACACAUUAAAAUGAUCAUGGAGAACUUCUCAAAAUUCAUUUUGAUAGUAUAGCCUUUCCUUAGGUCUUUCCUUUCCCCUAUGCAAUGGUGUUCCUUUGUAAGUCCAAGAGCACGUUGUCUCUCUUUACCUAGUCACUUUAUCACUGUCUUCAUAGAUUGCAUAAUCUGGGGCUGUGUGGUGUCCCUUGUCUUCGUCUCUAGCCAGAAGGAACUUGUCAUUUGAGUUUUUAAGAUUUAUUUUCCCCACUCUCUACCACUUGUGUUCCAGCUUCUCAUUUAAAAAGAGAAAAGGUUAUAUAGUUCUCAUUCUUUCUGCUUGGCUAAGUCAUAAAUUAUUGAAACAAGAUGGCUAUACUUCUCUUGUUAUUUGGGAAAAAUCUCUUAUUCCAAAAUAAAUGUUCUUUGUUUUUUCA
Molossus molossus (Pallas's mastiff bat) is the source of this 930-nucleotide long non-coding RNA. RefSeq lists it as uncharacterized. The transcript has 2 exons. NCBI's taxonomy places the organism in Eukaryota, Metazoa, Chordata, Mammalia, Chiroptera, Molossidae. The record is from RefSeq and is a predicted model, not a curated record.